UGGAAAUGAGGCUGCACCUACGGAGUGCAA
RNAcentral lists this small RNA (30 nucleotides) under Bombyx mori (domestic silkworm). Its description in RNAcentral is "ovarian small RNA-34396". Lineage: Eukaryota; Metazoa; Arthropoda; Insecta; Lepidoptera; Bombycidae. The record is from RNAcentral.